Camelus dromedarius (Arabian camel) is the source of this 102-nucleotide small nuclear RNA. NCBI's taxonomy places the organism in Eukaryota, Metazoa, Chordata, Mammalia, Artiodactyla, Camelidae. The record is from Ensembl.
GUGCUCACUUCGGCAGCACAUAUACUAAAAUUGGAAUGACAGAGAAUAGCAGGGCCCUGGUGCAAAGAUGACACACAAAUUCAUGAAGCGUUCCAUAUUUUU